GCUCGCGUAGCUCAGGGGUAGAGCGCAUCCUUGGUAAGGAUGAGGUCGUCGGUUCAAUUCCGACCGCGAGCUCCA
Molecule: transfer RNA, 75 nt
Filed under: Luteolibacter sp.
Lineage: Bacteria; Pseudomonadati; Verrucomicrobiota; Verrucomicrobiia; Verrucomicrobiales; Verrucomicrobiaceae
Description: tRNA-Thr
Rfam family: tRNA
About the family: Transfer RNA (tRNA) molecules are approximately 80 nucleotides in length. Their secondary structure includes four short double-helical elements and three loops (D, anti-codon, and T loops).
Source: RNAcentral